This is an RNA transcript of Phyllopteryx taeniolatus (common seadragon), 3030 nucleotides long. It is a transcript of the gene named ATG10 autophagy related 10 homolog (S. cerevisiae), with no coding region annotated. The record is from RefSeq and is a predicted model, not a curated record. Lineage: Eukaryota; Metazoa; Chordata; Actinopteri; Syngnathiformes; Syngnathidae. The transcript has 10 exons.
UCGCGGGAUUGUUUGGGAGUAAACGGCGGCAGUCACGUGGCCGGAUGUGACGUCAUUGCCAGUUUGUUUUUCCUGUUACAGUGAACCGAUGAGAUGAGCUCCUGUCUGCAGGGGGAGGAGAACUUCCGUCGGUGCUGCCAGAGCCUCCUGAAGAUGUCUGAUCAGUUAGGAGACGGCUGGAGUUGGGAGCCUGUCCAGGGCUCAGAGGAGGGCUACAUGAGAAAGACUGCCCUCAGGUCAGUCUUCAUCAAUUCCACGGCGACACGGAACGGCGACAGCUCAGAGGGCGCUGCGGCCGAUGAACCGGAUGUUUCUGGCGCAAAUGAUGACUGUGAUCGUGAAUAUGAAGAAGAUUUCAUGUCAGGAGGCAGCAGUCAUGUGCUUUGCUACGAGUACCACAUCCUGUACUCCUGCAGCUACAUGACCCCUGUGCUCUAUUUCAGAGCCUCCACUUUAGAUGGGAGGAGUCUUUCUCUCGAUGAAGUUUGGAGUUCUGCCCAUCCAAAUUUCAGGUUGCGACUGCAGCACAGCCCGUUGACAACUAUCACACAGCAGGAGCAUCCUCUGCUAGGUCAGCCUUUCUUCAUGCUCCAUCCCUGUCGGACAGAGGAAUUUAUGAGACCGGUGCUGCAGUUAGGGAAAGGCCCACAAAGGCAAGUGAAUGACGUCUUGACGUGGCUCAGCGUGGUAGGCCCUCUGGUGGGUUUGGAUGUUUCCCUGAAGUAUUCCACCCUGCAGCCUCAACUUACUGAGCCCGAAGCCGCCGCGCGGCCCCCUUCGCCGUCGUGACUGCGGAGGUCACUCGGAGGUCACCCGAUCCGCCGUCACGCCGCAGCGCGAUGCGCGCCGACCCGUGUUUCGCAUCCGUCGGCCGUCGUUAACCUCCAAACCCGACUCGGUAUCUACGCCUCGUGGAGCCGUCGCCUUAUCGUGCCGGAGGGGUUUGUGUGUCCCAAUGAUCCGAGGAGCUAAGUAGGGUCGCCCAUGGGAAACACGUCCAAGUGUCUACUCACGACUGUAAAUCAGGUGGUCGGUGGGAUGGUCUUCUCUGAACAUCUCAGGAGGAAAACGAAGCAGGUUUGGUCGAAAAAGGGAAAAAGAUGCAGAAAAAACAAAAGAGGCGGAAGAAGAAAAAGGAUUCUUCACGCCUCGUUGGGAGAAUAUGACCGUCUCUCUCUCCCGCCUGUUUCCGGGAUCACUAGCAAGUUCAGAGAACUCCCAUUUGGCUGGGAUCGUAUCUGGUAGCUCAGCAGCAACUGUUCUGGAGGCUUAGCAGCGGCGAUCCACAGAGGCUAGGAAGCCGGAUCUCCAUCUCCACGGCAACUCCUGAACUUGAUGCAGGGGAGUCAUUGAGGAGGGCUACACUCGGCGCGGCGGACUCUCGACUCGGCGCUGCCAGGGUCAGAGAGGAGCGUUGCGAAGUGGCAGGGGCUGUUGACCAUAUCCCAUGGAGGUCAGAACCAAGCUCUGCUUUGUAGAUCCGAGGAGACAGACUGACAGUCAGGGGAUCCUCGUCUACCUAAAUAUCAACGGGGUGGAUUGGGAACUCGUGUUGCGGGCACGAGCAGGAACGGUGGCACGUAAUCUCGGGUGUAAUCCCACGGAAACACAGCUGGAGCGAGAUGAACAUACGAAUAUUUGCUUCAUGUGGGAAAGGAACACUUGGAUUCAUCAGUGAGGACACACGACAAACACGCAGCACGUACGUUGUAUGACGCCUCAAAACCUAUUUCCACCCUUGCAUUUUCGAUGCCGCCUUUCCUCGUCAGCGUCCACGUCACUGCUCCCUAUCAAACUCAAAAGGUCAACCUAGGUUUUGGUGAUCCACUUGUGACCUUAUUACUGAUUAGAACAUUUCAAUGGCAGUCCGUCAAAAUAUUGAAUGAAAACAAGUCUGUUGUGAGUGUGACUAAGCGGCUAGCUCGUGUUACGGUGUGUGGACUGAAAUAAAACAACAACACCAUCGUAACGGCGGACUGAAUAUUUUCAUUCGGUGUGUACCUGAACUCAGAAUAAAGCUUUUCUCAAAAAAAUAAAGGCUGCGCUUGCCGUCGGUGAUAAUUGGCGGAAGAACGAAACGUGCGGUAUGACCUGGCGGUGGAUCGGACCUGACAGGCAAUCUUCCGUAACGCUUUGAAUUCUAAAUUACAGCCGUGCUACUGAACGUCAAGGUCGAUUCCCUCACGCAGUAUAAUGAAAUGAUUCCAUUUGACACCUCCAAUCGGUGACUCUGGAAGCGCGCCCGCCAGACCGGUCGGCUGUCACGCUGGCUUGAAAAGAGCCGUGGAAUCAAAGUGAAAUUAGCAGGGCACAUCCAUCAGAGAAUAUUGGAUUUUAUCCAGAAAACAACAAACAGCUCUAUAUUCUUUGUUUGUCGACAGUUUCAUGUCCUUACUUGAACGCGUCAUUCAUCCAAUCUAAUUCAUCAAAAGAAUACAUUUGUAACAUGAAGUAAUGCAACCAUGUUGAUGUGGCAAGCAAUCAGUCAUUUGGCUCCUCCAACCUUUCCAUACUCCACCACUUUAGCGCCCCCUCUUACCCAUUACCAUCCCCCCCCAAAAUAUCCAAAUAGGUUCCCUCUUCCUCCCGCCCCCCUGCACCCCCACAACCCAUCAACCCCGUGUCCUUUGUGUGCAGUGGCAUCAGGCAAAAAAAAUGUCACAUGCAGCCAGCCUUUAAAGGCGCUACCGCUACGCUCGCCUCUCCGUAAUCCUCUUAAGAGUUAAGAGUUGCUGUUGGUCACGGUGAACAGCCAGGUAAAGCUCAAGUCUCCGAGGUCGGCCUUGCCAGGAACUUCUGCGUUUUGGCCUGCGCUGCCCCUUGAGGUCAAAAGCCUCUAAACCUCUAGGUGGCGCUAGUGAGUGCUGGACUCGACUCACCCCGAGCACUAAGAAGCUCCUUUUGACAUACAUUACACAAUCAAUGAUUGUUCUGUCUGUUUCUGCCAUCUGUUUUAAUGUUGUUUAACAAUCGUUGGCGCAGAAUUCGGGGGGGGGGGGGGGGGGGGGAAUCAAGGGGCUUUCAAUGAUA